Molecule: ribosomal RNA, 424 nt
Filed under: uncultured bacterium
Lineage: Bacteria
Description: partial 16S ribosomal RNA
Rfam family: Bacterial small subunit ribosomal RNA
Source: RNAcentral
GAAUAUUGGACAAUGGGGGGAACCCUGAUCCAGCCAUGCCGCGUGUGUGAAGAAGGCCUUUCGGUUGUAAAGCACUUUAAGCGAGGAGGAGGCUACUUAGAUUAAUACUCUAGGAUAGUGGACGUUACUCGCAGAAUAAGCACCGGCUAACUCUGUGCCAGCAGCCGCGGUAAUACAGAGGGUGCAAGCGUUAAAUGGAGUUACUGGGCGUAAAGCGCGCGUAGGUGGCCAAUUAAGUUAAAUGGUAAAACCCCGGGCUUAACCUGGGAAUUGCAUUGGAUACUGGUUUGGUAGAGUAUGGGAGAGGAUGGUAGAAUUCCAGGUGUAGGGGGGAAAUGCGUAGAGAUCUGGAGGAAUACCGAUGGCGAAGGCAGCCAUCUGGCCUAAUACUGACACUGAGGUGCGAAAGCAUGGGGAGCAAACA